Paramuricea clavata is the source of this 871-nucleotide non-coding RNA. The record is from the annotation of a GenBank genome assembly. NCBI's taxonomy places the organism in Eukaryota, Metazoa, Cnidaria, Anthozoa, Malacalcyonacea, Plexauridae.
AAAUCAAAAUUUUAAGUCAAAGUUUUGUCUUUUUAUUAGAAUUAAAAUCAUUCAUGAGAAAAAUGUGCCAAAGGGUUGAAAUUGCCCUUGUAAAUGUACACUAUUUUUGACAUGUUUGGGUGAUAGUAGUUUGAAAAGGUGUUCUGGAAGGAAAAUAUGUUUUGAACAAUACUAGUUGACCUUUAAAUUAUAUUAAACUAGUGUUAUGUAAAUCACAAAAGUUUGAAAAAAAUCUGGUCCAUACACAAUAUUUUGGAUUCUACAAGGUCCUGAAUGGGGCUUAUUUCAAUGUUGAAUCUGUUUACCUGGAAAAACAUAGAACAUUUAAUAAGUCGAGAAUUUGACUAUGCUCAUCACCCAAAACGAGGUUUUUCUAAUUGCUUUUUCACUAGGCUUUGUGGCAAUGCCAGUUAUCACUUAUGCAACCACAAAAAAUUUGUGCAGCACUUUUUUGUACACUGAAGAUCUGGCAACAUUUGAUGUCAUAUUAUUGCCAUCCUCUUUUCAUAGUAUAACUUAACUUAUUUUAGUGAGUUUGUUAAAGAGUUAUGCUUAAAAUAUACCUGUAGUAUCUAAGAUUUUUUCAUAGCAUUAGAUGAUAAAUUUAAGUUCUGUUUUCUUUUAUUUUUAGAUGAUAGUAUCUGUUCACAGUCUCGUUGGUAUUAAAUUUUGCACAAGAUUCAAUUUGUGUCGCAAAAUGUUAUGUAUUCUGUGUGUAAUGUCUAUUUGUCCUGUGUUAAAAAUAUUAUAUAUAUAUAGAAAACAUUAUUUGUAUCAUUAAACGUGAUACAGGACAUAAAAUUGCAUCGUCAUGGGAACACCUAAUGGGUCAUUCCAGAAAACAUCCAUACCACCCCCACAGAGGAAAUAG